This 87-nucleotide transfer RNA is filed under the name Triticum aestivum (bread wheat). It matches the Rfam family "tRNA". Rfam says of the family: Transfer RNA (tRNA) molecules are approximately 80 nucleotides in length. Their secondary structure includes four short double-helical elements and three loops (D, anti-codon, and T loops). Further hydrogen bonds mediate the characteristic L-shaped molecular structure. tRNAs have two regions of fundamental functional importance: the anti-codon, which is responsible for specific mRNA codon recognition, and the 3' end, to which the tRNAs corresponding amino acid is attached (by aminoacyl-tRNA synthetases). tRNAs cope with the degeneracy of the genetic code in two manners: having more than one tRNA (with a specific anti-codon) for a particular amino acid; and 'wobble' base-pairing, i.e. permitting non-standard base-pairing at the 3rd anti-codon position. The record is from Rfam by way of RNAcentral. RNAcentral also lists the same sequence under 1 other name. Lineage: Eukaryota; Viridiplantae; Streptophyta; Magnoliopsida; Poales; Poaceae.
GGAGAGAUGGCUGAGUGGUUGAUAGCUCCGGUCUUAAAAAAUGGUUAGUUCUAGGAAUUAUCGAGGGUUCGAAUUGCUCUCUCUCCU